RNAcentral lists this long non-coding RNA (469 nucleotides) under Mus spicilegus (steppe mouse). RNAcentral's name for it is "lncRNA (ENSMSIG00000029464.1)". Lineage: Eukaryota; Metazoa; Chordata; Mammalia; Rodentia; Muridae. The record is from RNAcentral.
UCUAUAUCUAUAUCAUUCAUCUAUUAUCUGUCUAUCAUCAAUCAAUCCUCUAUGUACCUAUUACCUAACAUCUAUCACCUGUAUAUCCAUUAUAUCAUAUGUCUGUCUGUCUUUCGUCUAUCAUCUAUCAUCCAGCCAUGUCUAUCUACCUAUGUCUCUGUAUUUCUUUUCUCACUUUUCUUUCCUUCUGUCUGUCAGUUAGCUGGGUGUGUCCCUGGAUCUGGCCCCUUCCCUGUAUGUGAAGCAGACUCUGCCUUCCAUGGAUGCAGCUGGGGAGGCAGACACAAGUUCCUCACCUGCUGUGCAGUGGCUUCAGGACAGGGUUUCCGUGGCUAAUUUUGGUUCUCAACUUGACACACCCAGGGAGUCUUAAUUGAAGAAUGGCCUCCAUUCACCUGGCCUGUGAGUAUAUCUAUGUAGUGUUUUUCUGAUUGUUGAUUAAUAUUAGAUGGCUCAGCCCACUGUGGGC